UUGGAUCAUUACAAAAUAAAAAGUAUUUAUACUAAACAAAAUUUUAGAAAGGAAAAUUACUUUUUGUAGCCUUCUAAUUUCCCAAAAAGUAACUUUUCAUUAUUAAAUGUUAAAAAUUACUUUUUUUUUUUCUGUCUCCAUAUACUUAAACAAUAUGGUUUUAAUUGUUAUUUACAGAAAAAGAAAUUAAAACUAUUUACCAAAACAUAAUUAAAAAAAUCUUAAAUAAAUUACAAAGAAUUUAAUAAAUUUUAGAUAGUUCAUUUUUUUUUUGGCUAUAUUUGAAAAUGUCACAUUAAAACUGCAAUUAAUUGAUUUAAAUUAUUGUUUUAAAUAAUUAUAUGUCAUGUUAAAUUAGGAAAAUAAUUUAUGAGAAAAUUAAUAUUUUUUCUAAUUUUAAAUUUUUAUAUAAUUACUUGAAAGACAUGAUAAGGAGGAGCGAACUUGAAACUUUUUAAAAAUGGUAAAUUUUAUGAAUUUUUUAAAUCUUUUACCUAUCUAUAAAAAAUAUAUUAGUAAAUUAUUAAAGAGGAAAUAUGAACAUAACGCCAUAAUUACAUAAUUAAUUAUUCAUGAUUAGGUAUAAUUUAUGUUUACUAUAAUUACACUUGAUACGUGCCCAUCUUAUAAAAUAAAAUUCACUCCAAUUUCCUUACAAUUUCCACACCUUUAAUACAGACGUCGAAAUUCCCCCGUCGUCGUCGCAGGUUUCUUGGUCCAGAAAUCCACGAUGUUAAUUCCGCCGUACAUCUGGGCCGCCUGUUUGCUAUUAAUUGUUGUCUUAGCUUCUCGAACGUUGGGUGCAGCCGCACUAUUGACAGAGCACUCAAAGAUCAGAGUAUGAUCACAGUUGUUUUUACUCCGACGUAGAUGUUGAAUUUCGCCCUCGUAGGGGGAUUUUUUAUGAAGGGGAGGUGGAGGUUGGGGUGAUCGGGAAGUUAUGGCUCGUGUUCGCUCGAAGCUGAAGUAAUGGUACUCUUCCUUUUUGAAGAAAGCAGCCAUGGACUCGGACGAAGAUGUAGAGGAUUUGAAGUAAUUGUGAAGUCGUGGGUUUGUUGUGUGAAGAAGGUGAAGGAUCUUGAUAUUGUAUUUAUAGGGUGAAGAAAUUAUGUGCUUGUAAGGUAAAGUGAAUCUUAAUUUCUCUUUCUUAUUUGAUUUAAGUUUGUAGUGCUGAUCCUAUAUGGUUGGGUGACUAAAAAUAUGUUCUUUUUCCAAGUGGGCUAAGUAUAAACACUUUCUUCUUUCUUCUUUUUUUCCCUAAAAGUAGUUAAAUGUUGCAAAAUUCUACAUUUCACUUUCAUAUUUAAACAUGACAAAUUAUUCUACAAGAAAAUGGAUAGAGAUAAAUAUAAGUUGAGAUGCACUCAACCAAAGUAUUACUCUUAUUUAUAAGAUUUGUUUUUUCUUUUUUUUUUUUUUGAAGUUUUUCGAUCGGCAUCGAUAUUGACAUCAUCGUGGAGUAGAAAAUACUUGAGCAUGACAUGAAUUAUGUUGUACAUCGUUUAAUGUUAUUAAAGGUAUGGCACGAAUUUUUUCAUUACAAUGAUUUAGGCAUCUCACAAGCUUAGCACAUUUGGAUUUAACAAUUAGAGGGGAAAGAAAAAAAAUCCUUCACCUUGAAAAUGAGGGUUGAAAUACCGUUAAGGUCGACAAGUGCUUCAAGAGACUUGAUCGACCAGCCCUGAUGCACACAUAGGAGAUCCAGGAGAGUUACAAACAAUGUCCAAACAAUGCCUUGACUUUGAUCUCACAAUCACAUAAGAAGGCAUCAUAAUUAAGAUUCUAAGCACUUGACAUUGACGAUGACCAAUGAUCAUGAUACGAAUAAUUUUUUGAAUUUAGUCUCGAUUUUAAUUUAUAUUCGAUUGAGUCAAUAGUUAUCUUGGUAUUCUUAACUUAACUUAAUGAUAAGAUUUCAAAUUAUCUAAUAAAUUUGAGUAAACUUCGAGUACUUCGAACCUAUACUAAACUCGUCAAUGCUAGAAUUAUUUUGAAAGCGGUUAUUGUGAUAGGAAUAUUCAACAAAAACACCUUGUUUCUAUACUCGAGGAAGGUAACCAUGGUGUGUCAAGUUAAAGGCCAUAGUGUUGAUUGAUUCUCGUUUGCCGAGAAUCUUCUUUCAACUUCAAUGUAGAUUUUUGGUCCAACCUAUUGGGGAUUACAAUAAUUUUUUUUUAUAAAACUCUAACAAAUUUUGAUGCCUUGGUGAUUUUUCUAUCCAUUUUGCUUUAUUUUUGGUGGUUCCCCAUAGAAUAAUGCCUCAAAAUUUGCAAGAAAGUAAGAUUUUGACCCAUAUCUUAGUUUUACUUUUAGUAUAAUAGCAUCUUUUACCUCUUACUUUUCAAUCUUGUGUUGAGACUUUCAAAUAUUUGUUCUACAACACAAUAUAUUGUGUUUAUAAUGUUUGAAAUGAAAUAUUUUUUUUGAAGACAGAGAUUUCAAACCUUUAUUACCAAAAUCAACCACAAAUGGAGUAAAAGCACAUAAGAAUAAACUUUUAGUAAAAAUAACAUAUCAAGAUAGGCUAAGUCGGAUGGGAAUUGACAUAUUUACCAUAAUUUGGUCUAUCAUAAUAAAUAUGAAAAUAUAUAUAGACUAUUUACCAUAUUUAUGUUAAUUUCGUGAAUACUAUAUAAUUACUUGGUUAACAUUUUGUAAGUUAGAAUAAUAUGUUUGGUUGUAAACUUCAAUAAAAUUUUGGCUGAAUGAGUAUGCAUGUGUUCAAGAUUAAUGAAAAGACACAUGCAUGUGUUUCCAUUUGAUAAAAAACUCUACCUAUUUUCUAAACAAAAAAAUCUCUUUUUCUUUUUUAUUAUUAUUAUUUGAGUUGUUGGGGGAAAAGCAUAUAUGAAUAACAUUAAAGUUUGAAAAUAUAAAGAGAGCGAAAGAGAAAGGAUAUAGUUUGCUUUCGGUUAGUAGCACUUCAUGGCAAAUUCGGAUAUAUCUAUGGGCAUAAAUACACAUAAGUUUUCCUUCAAUAAUACACCAAAAAAGGAGAAUAAAAAACACGAUAGAUAUGUUACCAAUAUGUAUGAAUCUAAUUUCAAAAAGCUUCAUAUGCUGAGUCAAAUUUAAAUAAAACUACUUAUCGAAUUUGAUGCAAAAAGGAUAAUCAAACCUCAAUUUUGAACACUUUGUAUGGUCCAAUCAAAGGUCUAUUAAAGCAAAACAACUUGCUUGAAGAUACUAUUUUAGAGGUGAUCUAAAUUACAAUAGCUUUCUAGUUUUGUUGUGU
This 3235-nucleotide long non-coding RNA is filed under the name Cucumis sativus (cucumber). RNAcentral describes it as "long non-coding RNA (CSAT_LNC002884)". The record is from RNAcentral. Lineage: Eukaryota; Viridiplantae; Streptophyta; Magnoliopsida; Cucurbitales; Cucurbitaceae.